AUUGAACGCUGGCGGCAUGCUUUACACAUGCAAGUCGAACGGUAACAGGCCUUCGGGUGCUGACGAGUGGCGAACGGGUGAGUAAUGCAUCGGAACGUACCCAGAGGUGGGGGAUAACGCAGCGAAAGCUGUGCUAAUACCGCAUGUGAUCUGAGGAUGAAAGCGGGGGACCGAGCAGCAAUGUUUGGCCUCGCGCCUUUGGAGCGGCCGAUGUCGGAUUAGCUAGUUGGUGGGGUAAAGGCCUACCAAGGCGACGAUCCGUAGCUGGUCUGAGAGGACGACGAGCCCCACUGGGACUGAGACACGGCCCAGACUCCUACGGGAGGCAGCAGUGGGGAAUUUUGGACAAUGGGCGCAAGCCUGAUCCAGCAAUGCCGCGUGCGGGAAGAAGGCCUUCGGGUUGUAAACCGCUUUUGGCAGGAACGAAACGGUGUCCGCUAAUACCGGGCGCUAAUGACGGUACCUGCAGAAUAAGCACCGGCUAACUACGUG
RNAcentral lists this ribosomal RNA (492 nucleotides) under uncultured bacterium. RNAcentral describes it as "partial 16S ribosomal RNA". It matches the Rfam family "Bacterial small subunit ribosomal RNA", at positions 29 to 507 of the family's 1533-position model. The record is from RNAcentral.